CCAUUCCCCACUCCAGCUAUGUCAGAUAUAGACUCCUAGACUGGCUGGGAGGAGGAAGGUUG
RNAcentral lists this microRNA precursor (62 nucleotides) under Canis lupus familiaris (dog). RNAcentral's name for it is "Cfa-Novel-6_pre stem-loop". The record is from RNAcentral. Lineage: Eukaryota; Metazoa; Chordata; Mammalia; Carnivora; Canidae.